UGAAACUUCUUCGGAACAGG
Molecule: microRNA, 20 nt
Filed under: Ciona intestinalis (vase tunicate)
Lineage: Eukaryota; Metazoa; Chordata; Ascidiacea; Phlebobranchia; Cionidae
Description: cin-miR-4000e-5p
Source: miRBase by way of RNAcentral